This 207-nucleotide long non-coding RNA is filed under the name Elaeis guineensis (African oil palm). Its description in RNAcentral is "long non-coding RNA (EGUI_LNC031573)". The record is from RNAcentral. Lineage: Eukaryota; Viridiplantae; Streptophyta; Magnoliopsida; Arecales; Arecaceae.
AUUUACCUAUCCAUUCCCAGCAUGAUAACAAUGGGAUGUACAUUCAUGGCCUUCUUAUGGUGAUUUGGAACGAUUGGUUAGAUUUUACUAGGACAUAUUAGUUAAAAUAUGUCAGGAUUUUAGUUUCGAAUUAAACCAGGAAAGUGACAUCUCUUGUUCAGAUUCUUGAUGACCUUCAGAAGUGAAGGAUGGGUUUUAGAGUUCUAC